CCCUGGUAGUCCAUGCCGUAAACGUUGGGCGCUAGAUGUAGGGACCUUUCCACGGUUUCUGUGUCGUAGCUAACGCAUUAAGCGCCCCGCCUGGGGAGUACGGCCGCAAGGCUAAAACUCAAAGGAAUUGACGGGGGCCCGCACAAGCGGCGGAGCAUGCGGAUUAAUUCGAUGCAACGCGAAGAACCUUACCAAGGCUUGACAUACACCGGAAACGGCCAGAGAUGGUCGCCCCCUUGUGGUCGGUGUACAGGUGGUGCAUGGUUGUCGUCAGCUCGUGUCGUGAGAUGUUGGGUUAAGUCCCGCAACGAGCGCAACCCUCGUUCUAUGUUGCCAGCGGGUUAUGCCGGGGACUCAUAGGAGACUGCCGGGGUCAACUCGGAGGAAGGUGGGGAUGACGUCAAAUCAUCAUGCCCCUUAUGUCUUGGGCUUCACGCAUGCUACAAUGGCCGGUACAAAGGGCUGCGAUACCGUAAGGUGGAGCGAAUCCCAAAAAGCCGGUCUCAGUUCGGAUUGAGGUCUGCAACUCGACCUCAUGAAGUCGGAGUCGCUAGUAAUCGCAGAUCAGCAACGCUGCGGUGAAUACGUUCCCGGGCCUUGUACACACCGCCCGUCAAGUCAUGAAAGUCGGUAACACCCGAAGCCGGUGGCCUAACCCUUGUGGAAGGAGCCGUCGAAGGUGGGAUCGGUGAUUAGGACUAAGUCG
Molecule: ribosomal RNA, 706 nt
Filed under: Curtobacterium flaccumfaciens
Lineage: Bacteria; Bacillati; Actinomycetota; Actinomycetes; Micrococcales; Microbacteriaceae
Description: bacterial SSU rRNA
Rfam family: Bacterial small subunit ribosomal RNA
Source: RNAcentral